Molecule: non-coding RNA, 555 nt
Organism: Coturnix japonica (Japanese quail)
Lineage: Eukaryota; Metazoa; Chordata; Aves; Galliformes; Phasianidae
Source: RefSeq, a predicted model, not a curated record
ACCAAUUAAAUAUUAGAACCCUUUCAAGUAUUCAUACUGUGCAAGUCAAAACAUCAUUUUGCAAAGCACAACACAUAUGCAGAAGGCACUAAGAAUUGCUCUGCUGAUAUGCCUGUGCUUCUCUUCUGAUGCUCCUGUUAGGAUACCUGGAGCAUUUUGCCUGUUGUGAUGAAACAAAACAGUCUUCAAUGAUAGUUCACAUUUCCAAUUUACACUUGCUAUGGUAACUGACCUGUGGGUGGAAGCCAAAACCACUCAUUACACUUUGAGGAUCAGUUUAACACAUUCCUGUGGAACACCGCUUUUAGCCCACCAGUCAUAUAGGAAAACCUGGCACCCACCAACACUGUACAAUUAAAUUUGAGACGAAAAGCUAAUUUUCUUGAAGUAACGGGCCUUGAACCUUCUCUACAAAGCUGGAAGAUAACAGCUAAACUAUCACUUAAAACCACUCCCAUAUACAAAGUCUUCAGGUUGGAGAAGGCUGAGAAAGAUGGUAAAGGAGAUUCUAUAGAACAGUUUAAAAUCUCCAAUAAAAUAUUUUUUGUAAAGGAA